Molecule: long non-coding RNA, 286 nt
Organism: Solea solea (common sole)
Lineage: Eukaryota; Metazoa; Chordata; Actinopteri; Pleuronectiformes; Soleidae
Exons: 3
Source: RefSeq, a predicted model, not a curated record
AUCUUUGACUGCGCAAGUGAAGAAGAAGAGCUCCGCCCACAUUAACCCGAUAAAAGAAAACGCUGGAGACGGUUUUAAAAGAUGAUUUACAUCCUCUCUGACACGAACUUCUGUCAAAUGAAGCAACAAAUAUUGCAUUGGAGAGAAUCUACUUCCUGUUUUAUGGAGUUAUUAUGCCUCACAAACCAAAGACAUGUGUAAGCUAUUCAUUACACGGGAACACUUUGCCAAACAUGCGCCUGCGGCUUCACAACAAAGAAACCUUCAUUUGCAAGUAAAUGGACGU